This 496-nucleotide ribosomal RNA is filed under the name uncultured bacterium. Its description in RNAcentral is "partial 16S ribosomal RNA". It matches the Rfam family "Bacterial small subunit ribosomal RNA", at positions 28 to 507 of the family's 1533-position model. The record is from RNAcentral.
GAUGAACGCUGGCGGCGUGCCUAAUACAUGCAAGUCGAGCGAACGGACGAGAAGCUUGCUUCUCUGAUGUUAGCGGCGGACGGGUGAGUAACACGUGGAUAACCUACCUAUAAGACUGGGAUAACUUCGGGAAACCGGAGCUAAUACCGGAUAAUAUUUUGAACCGCAUGGUUCAAAAGUGAAAGACGGUCUUGCUGUCACUUAUAGAUGGAUCCGCGCUGCAUUAGCUAGUUGGUAAGGUAACGGCUUACCAAGGCAACGAUGCAUAGCCGACCUGAGAGGGUGAUCGGCCACCAUGGAACUGAGACACGGUCCAGACUCCUACGGGAGGCAGCAGUAGGGAAUCUCCGGCAAUGGGCGAAAGCCUGACGGAGCAACGCGGGGUGGGUGAUGAAGGUCUUCGGAUCGAAAAACUCUGUAUUAGGGAAGAACAUAUGUGUAAGUAACUGUGCACAUCUUGACGGUACCUAAUCAGAAAGCCACGGCUAACUACGUG